AGGGCACCACCAGGAGUGGAGCCUGCGGCUUAAUUUGACUCAACACGGGAAAACUCACCCGGCCCGGACACCGUAAGGAUUGACAGAUUGAUAGCUCUUUCAUGAUUCGGUGGUUGGUGGUGCAUGGCCGUUCUUAGUUCGUGGAUCGAUUUGUCUGGUUUAUUCCGAUAACGAGCGAGACUCUAGCCUACUAACUAGUGCGGGCAUUGCCGCUGUGCCUCGCCGCACUUCUUAGAGGGAUUGGCUGCGUCUAGCAGCACGAAACGGAGCAAUAACAGGUCUGUGAUGCCCUUAGAUGUCCGGGGCUGCACGCGCGCUACACUGGCAAAGGCAGCGUGCUUGUCCGCCUCCGAAAGGAGCCGGUAAACCCAUGAAAAUUUGCCGUGAUUGGGAUCGGAAAUUGCAAUUAUUUUCCGUGAACGAGGAAUUCCAAGUAAGUGCGAGUCAUCAGCUCGCGUUGAUUACGUCCCUGCCCUUUGUACACACCGCCCGUCGCUGCCUAGAACUGAGCCACUUCGA
This 519-nucleotide ribosomal RNA is filed under the name uncultured eukaryote. RNAcentral describes it as "SSU rRNA". It matches the Rfam family "Eukaryotic small subunit ribosomal RNA", at positions 1161 to 1702 of the family's 1831-position model. The record is from RNAcentral.